Molecule: unclassified non-coding RNA, 314 nt
Filed under: plant metagenome
Description: partial contains small subunit ribosomal RNA, internal transcribed spacer 1, and 5.8S ribosomal RNA
Source: RNAcentral
UUUCCGUAGGUGAACCUGCGGAAGGAUCAUUAACACGUUUUUUUCCGAACGUUUAUUAUCCAUCUCUUACUCUCUGUGCAUUAACAACUCCCGGGCUUCCCUGGUUGCUUGCUUUCAUUUGUAAGUAAGUGGGCCGGGGCGUUCCUGUAGUUGGGUUUCAUUACCCUCUGCGUGGAGCGUUGCCUUUCCAACCCCAACCUUGAAUCUAAUUGUUCUGAACAUUACAGGUGUGUUUAAGCGCGGUUUCGUACUACGUUUUAUACGCCGAAGAAAAAAACAAAAAACAACUCUUAACAAUGGAUAUCUUGGUUCUC